UAAAGAUGUUGAGGAAGGCUAGCUCCAAGG
Molecule: non-coding RNA, 30 nt
Filed under: Homo sapiens (human)
Lineage: Eukaryota; Metazoa; Chordata; Mammalia; Primates; Hominidae
Source: RNAcentral